UACGUAGGGUGCAAGCGUUGUCCGGAAUUAUUGGGCGUAAAGAGCUCGUAGGCGGUUUGUCGCGUCUGCUGGGAAAACUGGAGGCUCAACCUCCAGCCUGCAGUGGGUACGGGCAGACUAGAGUGCGGUAGGGGAGAUUGGAAUUCCUGGUGUAGCGGUGGAAUGCGCAGAUAUCAGGAGGAACACCAAUGGCGAAGGCAGAUCUCUGGGCCGUAACUGACGCUGAGGAGCGAAAGCAUGGGGAGCGAACAGG
RNAcentral lists this ribosomal RNA (253 nucleotides) under uncultured bacterium. RNAcentral describes it as "partial 16S ribosomal RNA". It matches the Rfam family "Bacterial small subunit ribosomal RNA", at positions 524 to 776 of the family's 1533-position model. The record is from RNAcentral.